CAGUAGCCGCGGUAAUACGGAGGGUGCAAGCGUUAAUCGGAAUUACUGGGCGUAAAGCGCACGCAGGCGGUUUGUUAAGUCAGAUGUGAAAUCCCCGAGCUUAACUUGGGAACUGCAUUUGAAACUGGCAAGCUAGAGUCUUGUAGAGGGGGGUAGAAUUCCAGGUGUAGCGGUGAAAUGCGUAGAGAUCUGGAGGAAUACCGGUGGCGAAGGCGGCCCCCUGGACAAAGACUGACGCUCAGGUGCGAAAGCGUGGGGAGCAAACAGGAUUAGAGACCCCUGUAGUCCCUGUCUCUUAUAA
RNAcentral lists this ribosomal RNA (301 nucleotides) under uncultured bacterium. RNAcentral describes it as "partial 16S ribosomal RNA". It matches the Rfam family "Bacterial small subunit ribosomal RNA", at positions 509 to 809 of the family's 1533-position model. The record is from RNAcentral.